RNAcentral lists this ribosomal RNA (103 nucleotides) under Flintibacter faecis. RNAcentral's name for it is "partial 16S ribosomal RNA". It matches the Rfam family "Bacterial small subunit ribosomal RNA", at positions 1 to 108 of the family's 1533-position model. The record is from RNAcentral. Lineage: Bacteria; Bacillati; Bacillota; Clostridia; Eubacteriales.
UUUUAUUGAGAGUUUGAUCCUGGCUCAGGAUGAACGCUGGCGGCGUGCUUAACACAUGCAAGUCGAACGGAACUCCUGUGUUUGAGGUUUCGGCCAAGAAGAC